GACGAACGCUGGCGGCGUGCUUAACACAUGCAAGUCGAACGGAAAGGCGCGGCUCUUGUGUGUUUCUUGUGUGGCGAACGGGGGAGUAACACGUGAGUAUCCUCCCCUUGUAUUUGUGGUAUCUUCAGGAAACUGCGGCUAUUACCGCAGAUGAGCUUCUGCUGCGUGUGGGGGGUUGGAAAGUGUCGGCGGUUGGGGAUGGACUGGCGGCUUAUCAGCUUGUUUGUGUGGUAGUGGCUUACCCGGGGUUUGACGGGUAGCCGGCCUGAGAGGGUGACCGGCCACAUUGCGACUGAGAUACGGCCCAGACUCGUACGGGAGGCAGCAGUCGGGAGUAUUGCACAGUGGGCGGAAGCCUGAUGCAGCAACGCCGCGUGCGUGAUGCCGGCCUUCGGGUUGUAAACCGCUUUCGCCUGUGACGAAGCGUGCGUGACGGUAAUUGGUCAAGAAGCACCGGCUAACUACGUG
This 468-nucleotide ribosomal RNA is filed under the name uncultured bacterium. RNAcentral describes it as "partial 16S ribosomal RNA". It matches the Rfam family "Bacterial small subunit ribosomal RNA", at positions 28 to 507 of the family's 1533-position model. The record is from RNAcentral.